AUUGAACCACUUCGCAUAGUCUUCUACUCUUGCUUUAUGAAGAAAUUGAUAAGACAGACUCCCAAAGGAAGAAUGGAGUAUAUUUAUAAUAUAUAUUAUGAUGUUUCUAGAAAUUUUAUAUACAAAAUAGAUAAUAGUGCUUAUCCGAUCUUUCAAGAACUAAAACAUAUACUUUUGGGAUAAAUUUUUGGUAGACGUAUUUAAUUAUCA
RNAcentral lists this long non-coding RNA (210 nucleotides) under Prunus persica (peach). Its description in RNAcentral is "long non-coding RNA (PPER_LNC006797)". Lineage: Eukaryota; Viridiplantae; Streptophyta; Magnoliopsida; Rosales; Rosaceae. The record is from RNAcentral.